Molecule: ribosomal RNA, 401 nt
Filed under: uncultured bacterium
Lineage: Bacteria
Description: partial 16S ribosomal RNA
Rfam family: Bacterial small subunit ribosomal RNA
Source: RNAcentral
CCUACGGGAGACAGCAGUAGGGAAUCUUCCACAAUGGGCGAAAGCCUGAUGGAGCAACGCCGCGUGGGCGAAGAAGGUCUUCGGAUCGUAAAACCCUGUUGUUAGAGAAGAAAGUGCGCGAGAGUAACUGUUCACGUUUCGACGGUACCUAACCAGAAAGCCAUGGCUAACUAGGUGCCAGCAGCCGCGGUAAUACGUAGGUGGCAAGCGUUAUCCGGAUUUAUUGGGCGUAAAGGGACAGAAGGCGGUUUGUUAAGUCUGUGGUUAAACCCUGGGGUUAAACCGGAGCGUGCAUUGGGAACUAGGAAACUAGAGUGAGAUAGAGGGAAGUGGAACUCCAUGUGAAGCGGUGAAAUGCGUAGAUAUAUGGAAGAACACCAGAGGCGAAGGCAGCUCACUGG